CGUGUAGGCGGUUGGUCAAGUCUGGUGUGAAAGCCCGGGCUUAGCCCCGGAAGUGCGCUGGAAACUAGCCAACUUGAGCGCGGAUAGAGGAGGGUGGAAUUCCUGGUGUAGCGGUGAAAUGCGUAGAUAUCAGGAGGAACACCGGCGGCGAAGGCGGCCCUCUGGAUCGUUGCUGACGCUGAGACGCGAAAGCGUGGGGAGCAAACAGGAUUAGAUACCCUGGUAGUCCACGCUGUAAACUAUGGGUACUAGGUGUUCGGGGUGUUGACCCCCUGAGUGCCGACGCUAACGCAUUAAGUACCCCGCCUGGGGACUACGGCCGCAAGGCUAAA
Molecule: ribosomal RNA, 332 nt
Filed under: uncultured bacterium
Lineage: Bacteria
Description: bacterial SSU rRNA
Rfam family: Bacterial small subunit ribosomal RNA
Source: RNAcentral